This 253-nucleotide ribosomal RNA is filed under the name uncultured bacterium. Its description in RNAcentral is "partial 16S ribosomal RNA". It matches the Rfam family "Bacterial small subunit ribosomal RNA", at positions 524 to 776 of the family's 1533-position model. The record is from RNAcentral.
UACGGGGGGGGCAAGCGUUGUCCGGAAUCAUUGGGCGUAAAGCGCGCGUAGGCGGCCCGGUAAGUCCGCUGUGAAAGUCAAAGGCUCAACCUUUGAAUGUCAGCGGAUACUGCCGGGCUAGAGUCCGGAAGAAGCGAGUGGAACUCCUGGUGUAGCGGUGGAAUGCGCAGAUAUCAGGAGGAACACCAAUGGCGAAGGCAGCACUCUGGGACGUGACUGACGCUGAGACGCGAAAGCGUGGGGAGCAAACAGG